UGAGUUGGCCAUGGCGAUCGCGUCGGCGUGAACGAGGAAGCACUGUUUUCCCACGCACGCUGCCGAGGAAAGUCUGGACUCCGCAGAGCACGGUGGUUGUUAACGGCAACCCGGGGUGACCCGAGGGAUAAGUGCCACAGAAACGAGACCGCCCGCGUUGUACGCGAGUAAGGGUGAAAAGGUGCGGUAAGAGCGCACCAGCACAGCAGGUGACUGUUGUGGCUUGGUAAACCCCACCGGGAGCAAGGCAAAAGGCCACACCUCUAUGGUGUGGCUGCGCAGGCGUACGAGGGCUGCUCGUCCGAGCCUGCGGGUAGCUGCUACAUAGAAGGCCGUCAGCAAUGGCGGUAGCGAGAUGGAUGGUCGCCACACGACAGAAUCCGGCUUACGGUCAACUCACUCG
RNAcentral lists this RNase P RNA (403 nucleotides) under Corynebacterium pyruviciproducens. RNAcentral's name for it is "RNase P RNA component class A". It matches the Rfam family "Bacterial RNase P class A". Rfam says of the family: Ribonuclease P (RNase P) is a ubiquitous endoribonuclease, found in archaea, bacteria and eukarya as well as chloroplasts and mitochondria. Its best characterised activity is the generation of mature 5'-ends of tRNAs by cleaving the 5'-leader elements of precursor-tRNAs. The record is from RNAcentral. Lineage: Bacteria; Bacillati; Actinomycetota; Actinomycetes; Mycobacteriales; Corynebacteriaceae.